GACGAACGCUGGCGGCGUGCUUAACACAUGCAAGUCGAACGGAAAGGCCCCCAUCUUGGUGGGGGUGCUCGAGUGGCGAACGGGUGAGUAACACGUGGGUGAUCUGCCCUGUACUUCGGGAUAAGCUUGGGAAACUGGGUCUAAUACCGGAUAGGACCAUGGUUUAGUGUCUCAUGGUGGAAAGAUUAUUGUUUUGGUGCAGGAUGAGCUCGCGGCCUAUCAGCUUGUUGGUGGGGUAAUGGCCUACCAAGGCGUCGACGGGUAGCCGGCCUGAGAGGGUGGACGGCCACAUUGGGACUGAGGUACGGCCCAGACUCCUACGGGAGGCAGCAGUGGGGAAUAUUGCACAAUGGGCGCAAGCCUGAUGCAGCGACGCCGCGUGGGGGAUGACGGCCUUCGGGUUGUAAACUCCUUUCGUUAGGGACGAAGCCGCACUUUUUUUGGGUGUGGUGACGGUACCUUUGUGAAGAAGCACCGGCUAACUACGUG
Molecule: ribosomal RNA, 489 nt
Filed under: uncultured bacterium
Lineage: Bacteria
Description: partial 16S ribosomal RNA
Rfam family: Bacterial small subunit ribosomal RNA
Source: RNAcentral